ACAGGCCAUGCCUAGCACGGUCUAUCUCGUGCCGGGCCAGGCCAUGUCAUGGGCAGCCCGACCUGUUACCCAUCUCUACUUGUAGAGAUAAAGCCUCAUCGUUCUCAAACUCCACCUCAGAACAAUCGGCUUAGGUUCCCUACAGCACCACACCGAUCUCGGACUCCCCCACGGAGGUUUCAUUAUUUCACUCGACUGAACACCCCUCGAGCCCACAUUCUUAUAAAAAUAGAGCGGCAAGAAGAGCUCCCCUAGUUAAAGAGGAUGCUCGCCCCAACACAGGCAAGGAAUCCGAAGAAGUAUUGCAGAUACCACAGGGAUCAUGAGCACGAUACAGAGGAAUGCUGGCAGCGCAUGGAAGAGAUAGAAGCACUCAUUCAAUGUGGACACCUUCAUCGG
This 399-nucleotide long non-coding RNA is filed under the name Elaeis guineensis (African oil palm). Its description in RNAcentral is "long non-coding RNA (EGUI_LNC081704)". Lineage: Eukaryota; Viridiplantae; Streptophyta; Magnoliopsida; Arecales; Arecaceae. The record is from RNAcentral.